Long non-coding RNA from Polistes dominula (European paper wasp), 1324 nucleotides. The record is from RefSeq and is a predicted model, not a curated record. Lineage: Eukaryota; Metazoa; Arthropoda; Insecta; Hymenoptera; Vespidae.
CCUUUCCGAGCUAGCCCCCAUGCGGUAUAAAAAAAAGAAUCGUACGGUGCUGCCAGGAGCUCGGAAACGGGAGAAUCCCGCAACACGCAAGUGAGUCACGCGUACGUGCGCGGCUAUCACUUCUUUACACACACAUACAUACACAUACUCACAUGUAUAUAAGAGAGAACGGAACCGACACCAACAUGACGACUACGACGACGACGCACAACGACGUUUUUCUCCCCUCCAGCCCCUUCUUCGUCUUCUUCUUCUUCUCUUAGCGGCCCACCCAACCGAAGUAAUGUCGACAACGUUCUUUACUCCCCUCUCUCUCUCUCUCUCUCUCUCUCCUACCAAUAAUUUCCCCUACUUUUGCUUUUGCUUUGCUUUACUUUGCUUUGCUUUGCUUUGCCAGCAGCAAGCAAAGCAACCGAAGCGCCUACGGUCACCACGAGGGAGACCCCUGAUCUCUCCUCUCUUCUCGCUUGGUUUCGUUUGGCUUGGCUCAAACUUGGCGUUGGGCUUAGAGCUUGGCGUUGGCUUCUUUUCUUCCCCACCACAAUAACAAGCAAGCGUACUCUCUCUACUAGGUCUAACACAUCACCACCAUUACCAACACGGUGAAACAUACCAACAAAACUAGUAGUAGUCACAGGAUAAGUAAUGAAACCAGUGUAUGUAUUAUUAUAACUUACAGACUUCUCGUUGAGAGGAGAGAACACACGUGUAUUUAUACGCAAAUCCCACUAAUGAUUGAUUCUUUCUUACAGCAUACAACAGCAGCAGCAGCAGCAGCAACAGUUGUAGAAGUAGAAGAGGAAAGCAAAACAAAGCAAAACAAUGUAGCAGAAAGCAAGCAAGCAAGCAAAAGGCACGAUAGAGAAAACGAUUGGGUCAGACACCUCAUGAACGUCUACCUACUACUACUAGCCGUGUCUACCACGUUGUUAGAGUGUCUACUAUGUUGUCCCUAGGACGUUCACGGCCGUGAUAAAGAAGAAAAAAAUAAAAUGGCGGAUUUUUGAAUGAAAGGAUGAAUUAAUCUUGACUGACUUCGAAAAUGGAACCACCACACUCGGAUAAAACGUUUCUAAUACGCUUUCACGAAGUUAUAAUAUUUGUGUUAUAAAAUUAAUUAGUAUUUUUUAUUUUACAGGUGAUGAAAAAGAAAAAAAUAAAAUGGCGAAUCUUUGAAUGAAAGGAUGAAUUAAUCUUGACUGACUUCGAAAAUGGAACCACCACACUCGGAUAAAACGUUUCUAAUACGCUUUCACGAAGUUAUAAUAUUUGUGUUUUGAAUUCCCCUUCUGAGAAUACUCGAAGGUAUUACAUAAUAUUUAAG